RNAcentral lists this ribosomal RNA (490 nucleotides) under uncultured bacterium. RNAcentral's name for it is "partial 16S ribosomal RNA". It matches the Rfam family "Bacterial small subunit ribosomal RNA", at positions 30 to 507 of the family's 1533-position model. The record is from RNAcentral.
AUUGAACGCUGGCGGCAGGCCUAACACAUGCAAGUCGAACGGUAACAGGAAGAAGCUUGCUUCUUUGCUGACGAGUGGCGGACGGGUGAGUAAUGUCUGGGAAACUGCCUGAUGGAGGGGGAUAACUACUGGAAACGGUAGCUAAUACCGCAUAACGUCGCAAGACCAAAGAGGGGGACCUUCGGGCCUCUUGCCAUCGGAUGUGCCCAGAUGGGAUUAGCUAGUAGGUGGGGUAACGGCUCACCUAGGCGACGAUCCCUAGCUGGUCUGAGAGGAUGACCGGCCACACUGGAACUGAGACACGGUCCAGACUCCUACGGGAGGCAGCAGUGGGGAAUAUUGCACAAUGGGCGCAAGCCUGAUGCAGCCAUGCCGCGUGUAUGAAGAGGGCCUUCGGGUUGUAAAGUACUUUCAGCGGGGAGGAAGGGAGUAAAGUUAAUACCUUUGCUCAUUGACGUUACCCGCAGAAGAAGCACCGGCUAACUCCGUG